Molecule: long non-coding RNA, 2713 nt
Organism: Oreochromis aureus
Lineage: Eukaryota; Metazoa; Chordata; Actinopteri; Cichliformes; Cichlidae
Source: Ensembl
UGUUAGUCAGUAAGUGACUGGCUGCUCCUGUAUGGCAUUAGAACGAUGCCACCUUAUCCCAUAGUCCAGCCAAUCACGCGAUUCACAUUCGUAUAUACGCAGCUAAUCAACGUCGUUGACAGGCUAUGACAGCGCCCUUAUGUGCCGACACCGGUGCAGUGUUGCCAACUUAGCGACUUUGUCGCUAUAUUUAGCGAGUUUUCAGACCCCCUUAGCGACUUUUUUUCUGAAAAGCGACUAGCGACAAAUCUGGCGACUUUUUCUGGUGUUAUUGGAGUCUUAUUUAUGACGACUUUUUGACGUGAAAGCGCAUAUCGCUCCUACUCUCAACAAGCAGCGGGUGCUGCCGUGGGCACCUCGCCCGUGCCAAAGCGCUCAUAGGCGGAGGAUAGUCCUCACGCAGCUGCUAUCAUGGUAGGAGACGUUCACCCCUAUGCGUUCAAACUGCAAAUGAAUCGCGCAUGAGCGAAGCCGCUGCUCCCGCACUGACUGUAACGCAGUCAAUUCUUCUUUCAAUGUUAUGCUGUUUUGUGGAUCACAAGGUUUAAAACUACUCAUAAACACACACACAAAGUAACCCCACCAGAGUGCCGAUUUUGGGUCACUUUUGCCAGUCCAAGUCCGGGUAAAGGAGCAGGGUUGGAAUUGUGACAUUAAAAAAAACAAAACAAUAAUUGCUAAAAGAAAUUUAAUUUGUAGUUCUAAAUAAAUUCUAAAUGCAUUUAGGACGUUUUUUACUCACUUUAUGUCUCUUCCAUGAUGUUAUUUCUCUCUCCAACAACGUAGGUUACAUUUACAUUAGCAUGACCAAUUAUGCAAAUUAGGCGAUGACGUCAUUUAGCGACUUCUAGCGACUUUGAGGACAGCCAAUAGCGAUUUUCCUUACUGAGGAGUUGGCAACACUGCACCGGUGUUUUAGCUAGCAAAGCGGCGUGGCUGAUGUGGAGUGAAGCCACGUUAAUGACAACGUGUACAACCAUUGGAGAUGUGAGCAGGACAGACAGGCAAAUUGGAGGAGAAGGCUGCUGGCCUGGCUCGCAGAACACUAAGCCCGACGCCCUCUCACACCAGUUCUCAUUGCUUUUGGAAGCGUCAGAAAAAGAGAAACCCAUCCUACCCGCUAGAUGCAUAGUGGGGUCGCUCACUUGGGAGACAGAGAGACUCCUCCGCGAGGCACGACGGAACUGGAUCGUUGAGUUGUCAAGUGUCAAGGGAGCGGAGCAAUUGUGGAAUCGAGUGUUGGAAACUGCUUACCUGCCACGGAUCACGAGCACAGGGCGGGAAUCAGGAGCACACUCACGGAAACCACACCAUUGGAAUUGUUGCACAGUUUGCUCACUGGGCUACUCGCUCGCCCUAUUGCCCGUUCUCCCCUGCUCUCGCUCUCUGUUUGUCACGUAGCUAGUUAACUGAGGUUGACUAGGAAUGCACCUGUACACUAAUUGCAGGGUGGCGCCUGCUCAUAUAAGGCUAUGCAGGCUUUCCUCCCGUUCAUUCCUCCUUUGCCUCCUGCAAGCAACAUUGCGAGCAGAUAUAUCUUCAGGAUAAAUCGGGUAGUUUUGAUCGGGCUACACCACAGCCACAGAGAGACAGUAUUUUAGUUGUCCCCCCAAGGGGGGACUGUUUUCACUGCAACGCGUAUGCUGCGUCAUCACACCCCUGCCUGAGAGAGAGUGUACCACAAGAAAAAUGGCAUCCAUGAGGAAAGGUUUUACCGCGUGUUAACGUGGAAUAAAGUUCCCAAAAUCUUAAGGAUCAAUUUCCUUUGAGUUGAUUGCUGUUGAUGCUGCAAUACUAAACAUAUUCCUUUUUGACUUCAGCUGUCGUGGAGAUAGGUAGUUGCAGUAUUAUCAGCAGAUUCAGUUUAGCAACUUCAGUCCUGGGGUAAGCAGCCGCUAACUAUAUUUUUUCCUGACUCCUAACUAGAGAAGGCUAAGCGCUAAAUGCAUUUUCGUUUUCAGGCUCUGAUUGCUGCUAUAAGCCUCUCCUCAUCUGUUUGUGUUCCAGCCCAACUGAACUAUAGAAACACCUGUAGUAGGCGCUGUUUUGGGACUUGUCCUCAAAGGAGCUGCUGCCUUGUGCCCCGGUUGAUUUUAUUUUUAUUGGUUUUAUUUUCUUUUACCUUGCCUUGUUUUAUUUAGUUAAUUUGUGGACCGUUUAUACUUGUGCCCACGUGACCGAGCGAGAGUGAUCCCCUCCUGGUGUGUCGUGCUGGUUCUUUGUUACCUCUGCACCGACCCAGCUGAUUUGCUCCAGGAGCUGUAGAGGAUUCCUCUUUGUGAGGGGGUCACGAUCAGUAUUUUAACCACUGUAACCAGUACAGACUGCUCUUCACUUGCGUGGUGCAAGCCCUUCAAUCUAUUUUGUUUUGUGUGUGUGUGUGUGUGUGUGUGUGUGGUUGUUUUCUUAAAAUCUGAAAUUUAUAUUGUCACCUGACUGCUCACAGCGAGCUUGGUAUUCCUUCCUUUUAAUGUGUUGUGGGUUUUUUUUGUUUGUUUUUUUGUGGCUUUUCACGUGUUGUGUUUUUUGUUGUUUUAAAUCCAGUGAACCAAGGACCCACCAGUGGCCACUGUUUUAGGAUGGGCUGUGUCACAGUCAUCUUUUAUUGUUUUUUUUUCUUUGUUUUAUUUUUUUUACAAACCCAAAUAAAGACAUGUUAAUAUUGGAGCCAAUCUGCCUCAGUGCCGCAUCCUUGAUCCUGUGUGACCUUUUU